This 540-nucleotide ribosomal RNA is filed under the name uncultured bacterium. Its description in RNAcentral is "bacterial SSU rRNA". It matches the Rfam family "Bacterial small subunit ribosomal RNA", at positions 8 to 526 of the family's 1533-position model. The record is from RNAcentral.
AGAGUUUGAUCAUGGCUCAGAAUCAACGCUGGCGGCGUGCCUAACACAUGCAAGUCGAACGCGAAAGGGGCUUCGGCCCUGAGUAGAGUGGCGAACGGGUGAGUAACACGUGGGUGACCUACCCUCGAGUGGGGGAUAACAUCCCGAAAGGGACGCUAAUACCGCAUAACAUCCUGCCUUUGAACAGGUGGAGAUCAAAGCCGGGGAUCGCAAGACCUGGCGCUUGAUGAGGGGCCCGCGCCUGAUUAGCUAGUUGGUGGGGUAAUGGCUCACCAAGGCGACGAUCAGUAUCCGGCCUGAGAGGGCGGACGGACACACUGGGACUGAGACACGGCCCAGACUCCUACGGGAGGCAGCAGUGGGGAAUUGUUCGCAAUGGGCGCAAGCCUGACGACGCAACGCCGCGUGGAGGAUGAAGGUCUUCGGAUUGUAAACUCCUGUUGCUCGGGACGAAAAGCUUCGACCUAAUACGUCGAAGUCUGACGGUACCGAGUGAGGAAGCCCCGGCUAACUCUGUGCCAGCAGCAGCGGCGGUAAUUC